AGUGUGACCGAUAGUGUAUGAGUACCGUGAGGGAAUGGUGAAAAGUACCCCGGGAGGGGAGUGAAAUAGUUCCUGAAACCAUGUGCUUACAAUCCGUCAGAGCACCGUUUGUGUGUGAUGGCGUGCCUUUUGAAGAAUGAGCCUGCGAGUCAGCGGCAUGUCGCGAGGUUAACCCGUGUGGGGUAGCCGUAGGGAAACCGAAUCCUAAUGGGGUGUUUAGUGGCAUGUCCUGGACCCGAAGCGGGGUGAUCUACCCAUGGCCAGUGUGAAGCAGCUGUAAGAGGUUGUGGAGGCGCGAACCCACGUAGGUUGAAAACUGCGGGGAUGAGCUGUGGGUAGGGGUGAAAGGCCAAUCAAACUCCGUGAUAGCUGGUUCUCCCCGAAAUGCAUUUAGGUGCAGCGUCGUAUUAUAGCUUGGUGGAGGUAGAGCGACUGGUUGGUUGAGCGGGACUACAAUCUUAGCAAUGUCAGCCAAACUCCGAAUGCCACUAAUUGUGUUGUACGGCAGUGAGACUGUGGGGGAUAAGCUUCAUAGUCGAGAGGGAAACAGCCCAGAUCGCCGGUUAAGGCCCCUAAGGGUGUACUAAGUGGAAAAGGAUGUGGGAUCGCGAAGACAGCCAGGAGGUUGGCUUAGAAGCAGCCAUCCUUGAAAGAGUGCGUAAUAGCUCACUGGUCGAGUGGUUCUGCGCCGACAAUGUAGUGGGGCUCAAGUACACCGCCGAAGCCGCGGCAAACUUUUUUGUUUGGGUAGGGGAGCGUCGUGCAUGGGUGGAAGCGUUACCGUAAGGAGGCGUGGACUGUGUGCGAGUGAGAAUGCAGGCAUGAGUAACGAAUUGAUAGGUGAGAAUCCUAUCCGCCGGAUGACUAAGGGUUCCUGGGUCAAGUUCGUCUUCCCAGGGUGAGUCGGGACCUAAGGCGAGGCCGACAGGCGUAGUCGAUGGAUAACCAGUUGAUAUUCUGGUACCCGUACAUGCGCGCCCAUGAUGAAGCACUGAUACUAACCACCGCGGAUGCACUGCUAGUCUUCUUUGAAGAUUGGUGGUGUUGAUGUCGUGGGGCCUGAUGUGUGGUUCAAGUGAUGGGGUGACGCAGUGAGGUAGCCACGCCACUUAUUGGAUUGGUGGUGUAAGCGUGUAGAUCGUGUGGUAGGUAAAUCCGCC
Molecule: ribosomal RNA, 1160 nt
Filed under: Corynebacterium tuberculostearicum
Lineage: Bacteria; Bacillati; Actinomycetota; Actinomycetes; Mycobacteriales; Corynebacteriaceae
Description: partial 23S ribosomal RNA
Rfam family: Bacterial large subunit ribosomal RNA
Source: RNAcentral